UCAGAGGAGGAGCUGUUGCAGCCUUGCACGAUCAAAAUAGGGCCUUUUAGGUUUGAAGGUUGAAGCUGAGCCCAUAUUCUGGCUUCAGAUGUCGGGGGAGGGGGAAAAACUGACAGACCCAAACAAAGGAAAAAUGAAUGAAAUGCAGAUAACUCUUUAGAAAACUUUCGUAGGAAAAAAGCGCCUCGUGUGAUCUGGAACAAAGACAUUUUCUAAUCAGAUUUAUCAAGCUGUGAAGAGGGAGUUUUAGCAAACGGAAGCAGCAGCAUUCUGUCACCAGGAAAUACUGCUUUAUCCAGAAUUGGGCUUGCACAUAAUUGAAAUUCAAUAGAACAAAAGAAGAAAGUACUGUUUAAGAUGAUAGAACUUUUAAAGAGUGAAAGAUGCCAGUUGAAAUGGAGUGUCUGUGACAAAAAUCUU
This is a long non-coding RNA of Globicephala melas (long-finned pilot whale), 420 nucleotides long. RefSeq lists it as uncharacterized. The record is from RefSeq and is a predicted model, not a curated record. NCBI's taxonomy places the organism in Eukaryota, Metazoa, Chordata, Mammalia, Artiodactyla, Delphinidae.